RNAcentral lists this ribosomal RNA (465 nucleotides) under Vreelandella stevensii. RNAcentral's name for it is "partial 16S ribosomal RNA". It matches the Rfam family "Bacterial small subunit ribosomal RNA", at positions 338 to 795 of the family's 1533-position model. Lineage: Bacteria; Pseudomonadati; Pseudomonadota; Gammaproteobacteria; Oceanospirillales; Halomonadaceae. The record is from RNAcentral.
CCUACGGGAGGCUGCAGUGGGGAAUAUUGGACAAUGGGGGGAACCCUGAUCCAGCCAUGCCGCGUGUGUGAAGAAGGCCCUCGGGUUGUAAAGCACUUUCAGUGAGGAAGAACGCCUGGUGGUUAAUACCCAUCAGGAAAGACAUCACUCACAGAAGAAGCACCGGCUAACUCCGUGCCAGCAGCCGCGGUAAUACGGAGGGUGCGAGCGUUAAUCGGAAUUACUGGGCGUAAAGCGCGCGUAGGUGGCUUGAUAAGCCGGUUGUGAAAGCCCCGGGCUCAACCGGGGAACGGCAUCCGGAACUGUCAAGCUAGAGUGCAGGAGAGGAAGGUAGAAUUCCCGGUGUAGCGGUGAAAUGCGUAGAGAUCGGGAGGAAUACCAGUGGCGAAGGCGGCCUUCUGGACUGACACUGACACUGAGGUGCGAAAGCGUGGGUAGCAAACAGGAUUAGAUACCCUAGUAGUC